This is an unclassified non-coding RNA of Lepidothrix coronata (blue-crowned manakin), 179 nucleotides long. NCBI's taxonomy places the organism in Eukaryota, Metazoa, Chordata, Aves, Passeriformes, Pipridae. The record is from Ensembl.
GAGACAGCCCUGGGGAAUGAAAUUGUUUGUUUAUCCACAGAACACGUACAGCAUGGGCAGCAGCAGUGUAGUCUUUCCCAUGCUGUUGCAUUGCUGUUCUCCAGCCUUGUCCUCCAGCGAUAUUCUAUAAAGGUGGGAAGACAGUUCACAGUUCUGGCCCUGCCCAAACUCUGGGUGCU